GUCGAGAAGCUUCGGCAAUGGGCGAAAGCCUGACCGAGCGACGCCGCGUGAGCGAUGAAGGCCCUAGUGGUUGUAAAGCUCUGUCAGAUUGGGAAUAAAUGCCGGGGGCGAAUAACCCCCGGAGCUGAAGGUACCAUCAGAGGAAGCACCGGCUAACUCCGUGCCAGCAGCCGCGGUAAUACGGAGGGUGCGAGCGUUGUUCGGAUUCACUGGGUAUAAAGGGUGUGUAGGCGGUCCUGCAAGUCAGAGGUGAAAGCCGUCGGCUUAACCGGCGAACUGCCUUUGAAACUGUAGGACUUGAGUCCGGGAGAGGAAGGUGGAAUUCCUGGUGUAGCGGUGAAAUGCGUAAAUAUCAGGAGGAACACCGGUGGCGAAGGCGGCCUUCUGGCCCGGUACUGACGCUGAGGCACGAAAGCCAGGGGAGCAAACGGGAUUAGAAACCCGAGUAGUCC
This 452-nucleotide ribosomal RNA is filed under the name uncultured bacterium. RNAcentral describes it as "bacterial SSU rRNA". It matches the Rfam family "Bacterial small subunit ribosomal RNA", at positions 354 to 796 of the family's 1533-position model. The record is from RNAcentral.